Molecule: transfer RNA, 88 nt
Filed under: Sanghuangporus sanghuang
Lineage: Eukaryota; Fungi; Basidiomycota; Agaricomycetes; Hymenochaetales; Hymenochaetaceae
Description: tRNA-Ser
Rfam family: tRNA
About the family: Transfer RNA (tRNA) molecules are approximately 80 nucleotides in length.
Source: RNAcentral
GGGUAUUUGGUCGAGUUUGGUUUAUGGCACUCGUCUUGAAAACGAGAACUUUUUAUAGAAGUCGUGAGUUCAAAUCUCACAGUGCCCG